AAUCAACGCUGGCGGCGUGCCUAACACAUGCAAGUCGAGCGAGAAAAGGGGGGCAACUCCCUGAGUACAGCGGCGCACGGGUGAGUAACACGUGGGUAAUCUGCCCUGGAGUGGGGAAUA
This 120-nucleotide ribosomal RNA is filed under the name uncultured bacterium. Its description in RNAcentral is "partial 16S ribosomal RNA". It matches the Rfam family "Bacterial small subunit ribosomal RNA", at positions 32 to 145 of the family's 1533-position model. The record is from RNAcentral.